AGACUCCUGGCCUGGGACUGUACGACAGAGAGGGCCAGUGACCCCCAUUUGUGUUUACUGUACUUCUACAGACACAUGUUGGUGUGAUGGGGGCAUUCACUUUCUCAGGUUCAGGCCAAGGUCAGGCCAGAACAUGGACCAAAUCUAUUUUCUCUGUCUCUCUGUGUAAACUGCUCAGGCUGUAGCCCAAAGAGGGCCCCUGAGUUCACUAACUGAGUGUAUUUUGAGGGAUUUAAGACUAAGACAGUAAACAGAAAGGGUGGAGAAGGACCUUCUCAGUCCGUAUCUGAUUUCAUGUGCUCAUCCCAUGUGUGGCAGAUACAGAGGCUCCAGGGAAGAUGCCUGAAGGAGCUGACAUGACAGUGAUGGGACAUCUUGCCCCAGGAGGCUGCCUCCAGCAACUCUGACACACUCCUGAAGGCUGUGAAAUGCAAGUAUUGCUGAGUUAUCCUUGUGUUCCUGUCCUUCAUCUGGUUCAUUUGCAGGAGGGAAUAAUGAUCUGUCACCAAG
Molecule: non-coding RNA, 510 nt
Organism: Anas platyrhynchos (mallard)
Lineage: Eukaryota; Metazoa; Chordata; Aves; Anseriformes; Anatidae
Source: RefSeq, a predicted model, not a curated record